GAUCAUGGCUCAGGAUGAACGCUAGCGACAGGCUUUAACACAUGCAAGUCGAGGGCAGCGCAGUGUAGCAAUACAUGGGCGGCGACCGGCGCACGGGUGCGUAACGCGUAUCCAACCUUCCCGUUACUCAGGGAUAGCCUUCCGAAAGGGAGAUUAAUACCUGAUGGUGUUCAAAUUCCGCAUGUUAUUUGAACUAAAGAUUUAUCGGUAACGGAUGGGGAUGCGUGACAUUAGGUAGAUGGCGGGGUAACGGCCCACCAUGCCUACGAUGUCUAGGGGUUCUGAGAGGAAGGUCCCCCACACUGGAACUGAGACACGGUCCAGACUCCUACGGGAGGCAGCAGUGGGGAAUAUUGGGCAAUGGGCGAAAGCCUGACCCAGCAACGCCGCGUGAAGGAAGAAGGCCUUCGGGUUGUAAACUUCUUUUAGCAGGGACGAAAACGUGACGGUACCUGCAGAAAAAGCAACGGCUAACUACGUG
This 481-nucleotide ribosomal RNA is filed under the name uncultured bacterium. Its description in RNAcentral is "bacterial SSU rRNA". It matches the Rfam family "Bacterial small subunit ribosomal RNA", at positions 15 to 507 of the family's 1533-position model. The record is from RNAcentral.